Non-coding RNA from Bacteriovorax sp. Seq25_V, 353 nucleotides. The record is from Rfam. NCBI's taxonomy places the organism in Bacteria, Pseudomonadati, Bdellovibrionota, Bacteriovoracia, Bacteriovoracales, Bacteriovoracaceae.
AGAGUCAAGGAGACUAUCGCUGGAGACUUCGGUCUCGGGAGGAAAGUCCGGGCACCAUAUGGCAGCUUAGCGGGUAAUGCCCGUCCACCGUGAGGUGAGGACAAGUGCAACAGAAAGGAAGUACAGGGGUUUGAGUUAGAUUGGGGUAGCGUAAGCCGGCCAAUCAGCGAGAGAUUUAUCUCACCUGCUGUAGUGAAAACAGGUAAACUCUAGGCGGUGCAAGUUCAAAUAGGUUCACGUUAUGGGGGCGGCCAGCUUCUGUGAACGGGUCGAGCGCUUGAGCCUAUUGGUAACAAUAGGCCUAGACGAAUGGUAGUCGAAUACAGGACCCGGCUUAUACCUUGGCUCUUUUU